Molecule: transfer RNA, 69 nt
Filed under: Ictidomys tridecemlineatus (thirteen-lined ground squirrel)
Lineage: Eukaryota; Metazoa; Chordata; Mammalia; Rodentia; Sciuridae
Description: Spermophilus tridecemlineatus (thirteen-lined ground squirrel) tRNA
Rfam family: tRNA
About the family: Transfer RNA (tRNA) molecules are approximately 80 nucleotides in length.
Source: Rfam by way of RNAcentral
GGGAUUGUGGCUUAGCGGUAGAGCACUCGCCUAGCGCGUGUGAGGAGCUGGGUUCGAUCCUCAGCACCA